AACCUCCGCAAUGUGAGAAAUCGCGACGGGGGGAUCCCAAGUGCCAUUCUUAACGGGAUGGCUUUUCAUUAGUGUAAAGAGCUUUUGGAAUAAGAGCUGGGCAAGACCGGUGCCAGCCGCCGCGGUAACACCGGCAGCUCUAGUGGUAACAAUUUUUAUUGGGUCUAAAGCGUCCGUAGCCGGUUUAAUAAGUCUCUGGUGAAAUCCUGUAGCUUAACUGUGGGAAUUGCUGGAGAUACUAUUAGACUUGAGACCGGGAGAGGUUAGAGGUACUCCCAGGGUAGAGGUGAAAUUCUGUAAUCCUGGGAGGACCGCCUGUUGCGAAGGCGUCUAACUGGAACGGUUCUGACGGUGAGGGACGAAAGUUAGGGGCGCGAACCGGAUUAGAUACCCGGGUAGUCCUAACUGUAAACGAUGCGGACUUGGUGUUGGGGUGGCUUUGAGCUGCUCCAGUGCCGAAGGGAAGCUGUUAAGUCCGCCGCCUGGGAAGUCGGUCGCAGACUAGAAACUUAAAGGAAGU
Molecule: ribosomal RNA, 520 nt
Filed under: uncultured bacterium
Lineage: Bacteria
Description: bacterial SSU rRNA
Rfam family: Archaeal small subunit ribosomal RNA
Source: RNAcentral